This is an RNA transcript of Diospyros lotus (date-plum), 5277 nucleotides long. It is a transcript of the gene named glycerol-3-phosphate acyltransferase, chloroplastic-like, with no coding region annotated. The transcript is spliced from 3 exons. The record is from RefSeq and is a predicted model, not a curated record. NCBI's taxonomy places the organism in Eukaryota, Viridiplantae, Streptophyta, Magnoliopsida, Ericales, Ebenaceae.
CCUUGAGUUCAUGAUUUUGUUUUAUACAAUUUGGAUCAUUGCCUUUUCUCUAGUUCGCAGGUGACUGCUAAGCUUCAAUGUCUCUAUUGCCUGAAAAUGGAAAAUAUAUAGUGUUUUCACGAAUUUGGUAUUUUCUUUGCAUUAUUAAAAUUUGUUGCAACUAUUAUCUUUGUGACAUAUAGUGAUAUAAGACAUGCUAUUUUGGUUAUCAUUAAACUCAUUUGGACACCAAAAAGUGCCAUAACUUUGUGCCUGUGAAUAUUGAAACACCCAAGUGAAGUUUACUGAAGAAACUUAGGGGCUGUUUAGUUGUGGAAAAUGUUUUCCUGUUUUCUAUCUCCAUUUUUUUUUAAUAAAAUGUUUGAGUUUUUAUUUUCCAUAAAAUUUUUAAAAAUGUGUUCAAAUGGUAGAAGUACAGAAAAGUAACUUAUAAUGUACAAAAUUGGAACAUAUGUUUGAAAAAGAGGGAUGUUUUUCUUUUGUGUAACUUGCAUUAGAGAAGGAGAUGGAGAUGAUUUGAGAGAAAUUUUGUGGAGAACCAUGUUUUCCAAAUCUUCAAAUUAGUAAGGAAAAUAUGGAAAUUUUAUUUUAGAAGAUUUCCAACUUUUCAAUUUUGGAGAACCAUGUCUUCCUAAUUUCCAUUUUUUGUUUAGACCAUUUUUGUGUUUGAACAAGUUUUCUAAUUUUUCGGAGAAUUGGGAGUGUUUUCCACAACUGAACAGUCCUUUAACCUUCUGUUGUCUUGGGAGCAUUGGAAUGCACUCAAGCUGGCCUUAAUAGAACACGCGCACACACGUGUGAGUGAUCAAUAUAGAAUAAAAGAACAACAACACAGAAUUGAAAUAAAAAAACAUAAAUCAAACCACACAAGACACCGGAUUUUAUCCUGGUUCAGAUCAUCAAAUGAUUGAUGAUCCUACAUCCAACCUUAAAUCUCGAGAGCAAUCUUCUUUCCAAUCUUGAACAAAAUAGUACAACAGAUCAGUCUCUCACAAGUACAAAUUCCACUGAGAUUACAAAGGCCAUCACUACUAGACUUUCCUCUCGCAAUUGCACUUCGUUCAUUCCAUGAUGUAAAUGACUACCUCUGCCCCCUAUUUAUAAACCAUAGGGCGGACAUUACAAGACAAUAUAUGGACAUUACCGAUUACAACCCGUCGUUAGUUACCGUUGGAAAAAAAACCUAACCAACUAACUAUCACUUGAGGCUUUGACUGAACUUCAUUGAUUCUUUUGGGCUUACUCGAUGCAAAUAGAUAACAAAUCUCCACCAUUUGCAUGAGUACUGCCCAAGCUUGAUUAAAACGAUCUGCUCUCCUUAGGACUUGCAUUCAUAUGUUGUUCGUUCACAUAGAGAUACUUGUAUUGGAUAUAGGAACUGCUUUGGUAAACAUAUCAGCUGCAUUAUCUUCCCCUGCAACUUUAAUCAGACUAAUUUCUUUCUUUUCAAGAAUUUCUUUGAUCAAAUGAUACCUAACAUCUAUGUGCUUGGUUCUUUCAUGGUGGGCUUGAUUUUUAGCUAAGUAUAUAGCAUUUUGGCUAUCACAGAUUAGGGUUGCUUUUACAUCUUUCCCAAGCAAUUAACUAGCUAAACCUUUCGACUAUAGGGCUUCUUUAAUAGUUUUUGUAACAGCUAUAUACUCUGCUUCUGUGGUUGAAAGAGCCACUACAUAUUGCAAAUUUGUUUUCCAGCUAAUGGUUGAAUUCCAUAGCUUGAAAACAUACUUUGUGGAUGACCUUCUAUUGUCUAAAUCUGUUGCAUAACCAACAUCUGUAAAUCCUAGGAUGCUUGGCUCUUCUUCUAAAUUAGCUCCACUAUAAACCAAAGACAUAUUAGUGGUUCCUUUUAGGUAUCUAAAGAUCCACUUCAUUGCAUUCCAAUGAGCCUUUCCCAGAUGAGCCAUAAACCUAUUAGUUAUACUCAUAGCAUGGGCUAAAUCUGGUCUUGUACAUACCAUACUAUACAUAAGGCUACCCAUUGCACUUGAAUAGGGUAUCUUGCUCAUUUCCUUAAUGCUCUCUUCUUCAGAUGGAGAUUGCUCAUGGGAUAACUUAAAAUGCUGAGCAAAAGGAACAUUCACUUCCUUGGCAUUUACCACAUGAAAUUUUCUAAUAAUCUUCUCAAGAUAGGAUUUUUGAGAUAAUAAGAGUUUUCUUUGCUAUCUAUUUCUAGAAAUUUCUAUGCCUAAGAUCUUUUUUGCCUCUCCUAACUCCUUCAUUUCAAAGGUUGACUUCAGCUUUAAUUUCUGUAUUUCCUGAUUUGAUUGACUUGCAAUCAGCAUAUCAUCAACAUAGAGGAGUAGGAAUAUAGAGAUCUUACUAGAAACAUGCCUAAAAUACACACAACAAUCAUAUGAACUUCUCUUAAACCCUUGGUUUAUCAUGAAUGUGUCAAAUUUCUUAUACCAAUGCCUAGGGGAUUGUUUUAAUCCAUAGAGGGACUUUCUCAACAAGCAUACUCGCUCCCUUUUACCUCUAGAUUCGAAACCUUUAGGCUGUUCCCUUAAAAUAUUCUCUUCUAAUUCACCAUGCAAGAAGGUAGUGGUUCAGUGAACUAAAAUGCGGCCUAGGCGGCGCCGAGGCGCUAGGCGGACACUGGUCGCUGCGAUUGUGGCCAAAUCGGCCCCCUUAGGCGCUGCCCGACUAAUCGGUACCGGGCGGUGCCUAGGCAGCUAAGGCGGACGCCUAGCCGCGUGAACCGCCUAGCCGAUUAUGCCCUAAUCAGUCGCCUGGGCCGCGUGAAUCGAUUUAGUAUAAAUUUAUUAGGGUUUUUGUUUCCCCUUACCCGUUACCCCUUCUCUCUCGUCGAUUUCCCCUUCUCUCUUGCGCGCACCGCCACUGACUGUCUAUUGCAGAGUCCCUGUCACCGUCGCCUCUCUUGUGCUCGCAUGCCGCCACUGUCUCUUGUAGUUGCAGAGUCGCCGUCGCCGCUUUCCAUUCCUGUUAGCCUUUUUGUUGCAUGCCGUCGCCGCCCCUCGUGAACGGUGGACUCGCCAUCGACCUUCAUUCCACUCUCUCUGUCUCUUACAGUUUCAUCUUCCCCACUCACCCUCUGCUACUGCUUGUUGUUGCCUAUUUUCUUUUUGUUUUUUUGUUAUUUAAUUUAUUAUUUAUAUUAAUAUUUGAUUAUUUGUUAUUCACUUAUUUGAAUAUUUUUUAAUAUUUUAAAAAUUUUAAUAUUUGUAACUUGCAAGCAAGUAACAAACAAAGCCAACAAGUAGCAUGCAGCAAGCUGCCUUUGUUGUUGCUUGCUGUUUGUUAGCUAGUUGUCUAUUUUAAUUCAAUUAUUCAAUGCCAAUUUACUCAGGAAAAAAAAGAAGAAAAAAGAAAGUCAUGUCAGAUGGAAUUGGGAGUACGGAAGCAUCAUCCGAUGCCGCCUUAGUUCUUAAAAGGAAAUCAAAUAAUGUCGGAUGGGAGUAUGGAAUGUUAAUUAAUCCGAAGAAUAUGGAUAAAGUUAAACAUAACUUGUGUGGUAAAGUUAUGUCUGGAAGAGUUUACAGAGUUAAAGAAUACAUCAGCCACAUUUUUGGAAAUGUUUCUGCAUGUCCAAAAUCUUCUCCGGAUGAUAAAACUAAAUGCAAGAAUGUUAUUGUCGAGGUAAAGAGUAAGAAGAAGAAUAAGAAGCAGGAGGAAGAUUUGAUGAGAUCCUCUGUUAAUAUUUCUGAAAAAGGGAAAGGGGUGGAUGAUGAAGAUGAAUUGGAAGAGUUAGGGAGCAAAAAAACACCUCGUACUCUUGGCCUUAUAGAUAAGUUUGCAAGCUCCAUUAGUCCUGAAAUUUGUUUGAGUUCGAGAAUGACGCAAAGACAACAAAAUAUUAGUGAAGCACUGUUUAAAGAGAGAACACAGGUUAUAUAGGGAUAUUGUGCUAGAUGGGUGUACGAAGCUAGUAUACCUUUCAAUGCUAUUGAUCAUGAUAGCUUCAAAUUAUUUGUUGAGGCGGUUGGUCAAUUUGGGCCGAGCUUCAAACCUCCUAGUCAAUAUCAGUUGAGGAAACCAUUAUUAAAGGAAAAGGUUGAUAGAAUGAAAGAGUUACUGAAGAAGCAUGAAGAAGAGUGGGCACAAAAUGGGUGCUCUAUUAUGAUUGAUGCUUGGACAGACAGAAAAAAAAGGAACAUCAUGAACCUAUGCGUUAAUUCUAGCAUGGGUAUUGCUUUUCUUUCUUCAAAAGAAUCAUCAGACGAAGCCCAUACAAGUGAACUCAUAUUUGAGUAUGUGGACAAGUGCAUUGAGCAAGUUGGACCACAAAAUGUCGUCCAAGUAGUAACCAACAGUGCUGCCAACAAUAUGGGAGCGGCAAAAUUAUUGAAGCUGAAGAGGCCAAAUAUCUUUUGGACAUCAUGUGCUACUCACACCAUCAAUUUGAUGCUUGAAAGUAUUGAAAAAAUGCCGAGAUAUAAGAAAGUCAUUGAUCAGGCAAAGAAUUUGACAAUCUUCAUUUAUGCACGCCAUAAGAUCUUGUCCUUAAUGACGUCAUUUACGAAGAAAAGGGAUCUAGUGAGACCGGGAGUCACUAGAUUUGCUUCUUCUUUCCUUACUUUGCAGAGUUUGAUGGAGAAAAAGGCCCAAUUAAGGAUAAUGUUUACCAGCUCUGAAUGGGAGGAGUGUAAAUGGUCAAAAACUGUUAAAGGGAAAGCAACAUAUGCUACUUUGAUGAGCAUUGCUUUUUGGAAUGAUGUAACUUUAUGCCUUAAGGUUUUUGCACCUUUGGUGAAGGUGCUUCGAAUUGUUGAUGCAGAUAGAAAGCCUUCUAUGGGCUUUUUAUAUGGAGAGAUUAAGCAGGCAAAGGAAGAUAUUAAGGAGGCCCUAAAUAAUCUUGAGAAAAACUAUCAGUCUGUUAUAAAGAUUAUUGAAGCAAGGGUGAAAGAUAGGCUAGAUAGUCCAUUGCAUUUGGAGGCUUAUCUUUUGAAUCCCUACUACCUUUUCAAGAAUAAGAAUAUAUAUCUUGAUAAUGAAGUGAUGGAUGGGCUUUUUAAUUGUGUGGAGAUGUUUUAUCAUGGUGAUGAUCAUUUUGAAUUGCAAGGUUAUGUCAUAAAUGUUGAGUUGCCAAAGUAUACUCGUAAAGAGGGAGCUUUUGGAAAAGUGUGGGCAGCUCAAGGGUGUGCAAAAAAUGAUGACAAUUAUAAUCCAGUUACAUGGUAGAUGACUUAUGGAAAUCAAACUCCAAACUUGCAACGAAUGGCAACAAGGAUUCUCUCGUUAACCAGUAGCUCAUCUGGUUGUGAAAGAAAUUGGAGCACUUUUGAAGGGGUUUUUCAAAGUGGAAAUGCUAAUGCAGAA